Non-coding RNA from Ictidomys tridecemlineatus (thirteen-lined ground squirrel), 107 nucleotides. Lineage: Eukaryota; Metazoa; Chordata; Mammalia; Rodentia; Sciuridae. The record is from Rfam.
UAUGGUACACCACUCCGAACACGCCCUGUCUCAUCUGAUCUUGGAAGCUAAGUGGGGUAGAGCCUGAUUAGUACUUGGAUGGGAAAAAUAAAAAGGUUGGACCAAAU